ACACCAAAUGCGUAAGGCAGCUUGCUAGAACAGUUCUGACACUCAGGGACGAAAGCGUGGGGAGCGAUACGGAUUAGAUACCCCCGUAGUCC
This 92-nucleotide ribosomal RNA is filed under the name Grimontia sedimenti. RNAcentral describes it as "Grimontia sp. S25 partial 16S ribosomal RNA". Lineage: Bacteria; Pseudomonadati; Pseudomonadota; Gammaproteobacteria; Vibrionales; Vibrionaceae. The record is from RNAcentral.